Regulatory RNA element from Nocardioides sp. CF8, 60 nucleotides. It matches the Rfam family "Actino-pnp RNA". NCBI's taxonomy places the organism in Bacteria, Bacillati, Actinomycetota, Actinomycetes, Propionibacteriales, Nocardioidaceae. The record is from Rfam.
CUCGGUCCUCGGUAGUGGCCUUCAGGUGAACGCACCUGCGGGCCUCGAUCGAAGACCGGC